UAGGGAAUCUUCCGCAAUGGACGCAAGUCUGACGGAGCAACGCCGCGUGAGUGAAGAAGGAUUUCGGUUCGUAAAACUCUGUUGUUAGAGAAGAACAGCGCAUAGAGUAACUGUUAAGCGUGUGACGGUAUCUAACCAGAAAGCCACGGCUAACUACGUGCCAGCAGCCGCGGUAAUACGUAGGUGGCAAGCGUUGUCCGGAUUUAUUGGGCGUAAAGCGAGCGCAGGCGGUCAAUUAAGUCUGAUGUGAAAGCCCCCGGCUCAACCGGGGAGGGUCAUUGGAAACUGGUUGACUUGAGUGCAGAAGAGGAGAGUGGAAUUCCAUGUGUAGCGGUGAAAUGCGUAGAUAUAUGGAGGAACACCAGUGGCGAAGGCGACUCUCUGGUCUGUAACUGACGCUGAGGCUCGAAAGCGUGGGUAGCAAACAGG
Molecule: ribosomal RNA, 429 nt
Filed under: Bacteroidota bacterium
Lineage: Bacteria; Pseudomonadati; Bacteroidota
Description: Bacteroidetes bacterium partial 16S ribosomal RNA
Rfam family: Bacterial small subunit ribosomal RNA
Source: RNAcentral